GAUCGCGGCGACGUCGGCGGUCCGCCGCCCGCGACGACACGAGAAGUCCACUGAACCUUAUCAUUUAGAGGAAGGAGAAGUCGUAACAAGGUU
RNAcentral lists this ribosomal RNA (93 nucleotides) under Thaumatophyllum solimoesense. Its description in RNAcentral is "Philodendron solimoesense partial 18S ribosomal RNA". Lineage: Eukaryota; Viridiplantae; Streptophyta; Magnoliopsida; Alismatales; Araceae. The record is from RNAcentral.